AUUGAACGCUGGCGGCAGGCCUAACACAUGCAAGUCGAGCGGUAGCACAGAAGAGCUUGCUCUUUGGGUGACGAGCGGCGGACGGGUGAGUAAUGUCUGGGAAACUGCCUGAUGGAGGGGGAUAACUACUGGAAACGGUAGCUAAUACCGCAUAACCUCGCAAGAGCAAAGAGGGGGACCUUAGGGCCUCUCGCCAUCAGAUGUGCCCAGAUGGGAUUAGCUAGUAGGUGAGGUAAUGGCUCACCUAGGCGACGAUCCCUAGCUGGUCUGAGAGGAUGACCAGCCACACUGGAACUGAGACACGGUCCAGACUCCUACGGGAGGCAGCAGUGGGGAAUAUUGCACAAUGGGCGCAAGCCUGAUGCAGCCAUGCCGCGUGUGUGAAGAAGGCCUUCGGGUUGUAAAGCACUUUCAGCGGGGAGGAAGGCAGUAAGGUUAAUAACCUURYUGAUUGACGUUACCCGCAGAAGAAGCACCGGCUAACUCCGUGCCAGCAGCCGCGGUAAUACGGAGGGUGCAAGCGUUAAUCGGAAUGACUGGGCGUAAAGCGCACGCAGGCGGUCUGUUAAGUUGGAUGUGAAAUCCCCGGGCUUAACCUGGGAACUGCAUUCAAAACUGACAGGCUAGAGUCUUGUAGAGGGGGGUAGAAUUCCAGGUGUAGCGGUGAAAUGCGUAGAGAUCUGGAGGAAUACCGGUGGCGAAGGCGGCCCCCUGGACAAAGACUGACGCUCAGGUGCGAAAGCGUGGGGAGCAAACAGGAUUAGAUACCCUGGUAGUCCACGCUGUAAACGAUGUCGAUUUGGAGGUUGUGCCCUUGAGGCGUGGCUUCCGGAGCUAACGCGUUAAAUCGACCGCCUGGGGAGUACGGCCGCAAGGUUAAAACUCAAAUGAAUUGACGGGGGCCCGCACAAGCGGUGGAGCAUGUGGUUUAAUUCGAUGCAACGCGAAGAACCUUACCUACUCUUGACAUCCACAGAAUUYRGCAGAGAUGCYUURGUGCCUUCGGGAACUGUGAGACAGGUGCUGCAUGGCUGUCGUCAGCUCGUGUUGUGAAAUGUUGGGUUAAGUCCCGCAACGAGCGCAACCCUUAUCCUUUGUUGCCAGCGAUUCGGUCGGGAACUCAAAGGAGACUGCCGGUGAUAAACCGGAGGAAGGUGGGGAUGACGUCAAGUCAUCAUGGCCCUUACGAGUAGGGCUACACACGUGCUACAAUGGCGUAUACAAAGAGAAGCGACCUCGCGAGAGCAAGCGGACCUCAUAAAGUACGUCGUAGUCCGGAUUGGAGUCUGCAACUCGACUCCAUGAAGUCGGAAUCGCUAGUAAUCGUAGAUCAGAAUGCUACGGUGAAUACGUUCCCGGGCCUUGUACACACCGCCCGUCACACCAUGGGAGUGGGUUGCAAAAGAAGUAGGUAGCUUAACCUUCGGGAGGGCGCUUACCACUUUGUGAUUCAUGACUGGGGUGAAGUCGUAACAAGGUAACCGUAGGGGAACC
RNAcentral lists this ribosomal RNA (1494 nucleotides) under Pectobacterium brasiliense. Its description in RNAcentral is "bacterial SSU rRNA". It matches the Rfam family "Bacterial small subunit ribosomal RNA". Lineage: Bacteria; Pseudomonadati; Pseudomonadota; Gammaproteobacteria; Enterobacterales; Pectobacteriaceae. The record is from RNAcentral.